CGGCCGACAACUGCCGGU
RNAcentral lists this unclassified non-coding RNA (18 nucleotides) under Chlamydomonas reinhardtii. Its description in RNAcentral is "small RNA Cre_1313". The record is from RNAcentral. Lineage: Eukaryota; Viridiplantae; Chlorophyta; Chlorophyceae; Chlamydomonadales; Chlamydomonadaceae.